RNAcentral lists this long non-coding RNA (395 nucleotides) under Solanum tuberosum (potato). RNAcentral's name for it is "long non-coding RNA (STUB_LNC002597)". The record is from RNAcentral. Lineage: Eukaryota; Viridiplantae; Streptophyta; Magnoliopsida; Solanales; Solanaceae.
GUCAAUUUAUUUAAAGGAAAAAAUAUAAAUCUUGUGGAAGAAGAAUAUGAAAAGGAAAAAGUGUCGCACUUCUGGUUAAUAGGAUCGCCAUGAGUAUGAGUCAUCCUUACCUUUUUAGCCUAAACUUGGUAGGGUAAAGCCAACGUAGUUUGGAAUAUGGAUUCUGUCAUUCUCAUUGCUCAUUUCUUGCCUUCUUUCUUCUGUCCUUUUCCAUUACUUUCCCGUUGAAGUGAUAAUUUACUGAUUAUGGAGAACCCUGGUAUACAUACGGUGAAAAGCAUACAAAAGAUGUGGUGCUCUAUGAAUCUUAUGAUUUCCAUUAUGUGAUACCUUGACUAAAUUGGCUCUUGAUAGAAUAUUCUUUUAAGUUGUUUCAUGAAAUUUCUUCUUAGUGU